UACGUAGGGUGCAAGCGUUAAUCGGAAUUACUGGGCGUAAAGCGUGCGCAGGCGGCGCGUUAAGACAGGUGUGAAAGCCCCCGAGCUUAACUUGGGAAUUGCGCUUGUGACUGGCGUGCUGGAGUGUGGCAGAGGGAGGUGGAAUUCCACGUGUAGCAGUGAAAUGCGUAGAUAUGUGGAGGAAUACCGAUGGCGAAGGCAGCCUCCUGGGAUAACACUGACGCUCAUGCACGAAAGCGUGGGGAGCAAACAGG
This 254-nucleotide ribosomal RNA is filed under the name uncultured bacterium. RNAcentral describes it as "partial 16S ribosomal RNA". It matches the Rfam family "Bacterial small subunit ribosomal RNA", at positions 524 to 776 of the family's 1533-position model. The record is from RNAcentral.